Molecule: long non-coding RNA, 399 nt
Organism: Mercenaria mercenaria
Lineage: Eukaryota; Metazoa; Mollusca; Bivalvia; Venerida; Veneridae
Exons: 3
Source: RefSeq, a predicted model, not a curated record
GUAGGAAGCCCAGGUCAAGCUAAAAAGUGAACAAAGAGUGGUUAACCUGUAGAGAAACAGUACUGUGAUGGGGUUGUGAAUUUCCUGCAGAAGUUAGCCUGCCAGGUGAGUGAGGUAGCAGGCUCACCAGGAGAGGUGCUGUCGAGGAGAUGUGUGUCACUCCUGAAAAUGGUCUUAAGACGGAUGUAUGGCUUGGUUUGAUAAACUUCUGAAUACUGUAGAAAGUCAUCAGCCAGAUUUCACCAACAUAUGUACAGCCUCAGAGUUAUUGUGCUUCCUUCUAACUAUACUGAUAUUAGAAUACUUCUAUUCCAAUGGCUGUGAGCAUGAAACAACAUGGCUUUGUGAUGAAGACCCCUUCCAUGAAUCAAUCAAGCACAUGUAUAUCUUUAAUUGAAG